This 254-nucleotide ribosomal RNA is filed under the name uncultured bacterium. RNAcentral describes it as "partial 16S ribosomal RNA". It matches the Rfam family "Bacterial small subunit ribosomal RNA", at positions 524 to 776 of the family's 1533-position model. The record is from RNAcentral.
UACGUAGGGGGCGAGCGUUGUCCGAAGUUACUGGGCGUAAAGCGCGCGUAGGCGGUUUCUUAAGUCUGGGGUGAAAGGUUCAGCGCUCAACGCGAACAGUGCCUUGGAUACUGGGAGACUUGAGUCUGGGAGGGGGCAGUGGAAUUCCUGGUGUAGCGGUGAAAUGCGUAGAUAUCGGGAGGAACACCAAUGGCGAAGGCAGCUCGCUGGGACGUGACUGACGCUGAGACGCGAAAGCGUGGGGAGCAAACAGG